This 475-nucleotide ribosomal RNA is filed under the name uncultured bacterium. RNAcentral's name for it is "bacterial SSU rRNA". It matches the Rfam family "Bacterial small subunit ribosomal RNA", at positions 28 to 493 of the family's 1533-position model. The record is from RNAcentral.
GAUGAACGCUAGCGGCAGGCUUAACACAUGCAAGUCGAGGGGCAGCAUAAGACAUUGCUUGCAAUGUCUGGUGGCGACCGGCGCACGGGUGCGUAACGCGUAUGCAACCUACCUGUAACAGGGGGAUAACACUGAGAAAUUGGUACUAAUACCCCAUAACAUCACUGAAGGCAUCUUUGGUGGUUGAAAGUUCCGGCGGUUACAGAUGGGCAUGCGUUGUAUUAGCUAGUUGGAGAGGUAACGGCUCACCAAGGCUACGAUACAUAGGGGGACUGAGAGGUUAACCCCCCACAUUGGUACUGAGACACGGACCAAACUCCUACGGGAGGCAGCAGUGAGGAAUAUUGGUCAAUGGACGCAAGUCUGAACCAGCCAUGCCGCGUGCAGGAUGACGGCUCUAUGAGUUGUAAACUGCUUUUGUACGAGGUAAAAUGAGAUACGUGUAUCUCACUGAAAGUAUCGUAUGAAUAAGGAU